RNAcentral lists this long non-coding RNA (219 nucleotides) under Vigna radiata. Its description in RNAcentral is "long non-coding RNA (VRAD_LNC008779)". The record is from RNAcentral. Lineage: Eukaryota; Viridiplantae; Streptophyta; Magnoliopsida; Fabales; Fabaceae.
AGUGACUCAAGAUUGUACUUAUUUUUUAUAUUUUUCAAUUUUGUUUUCCUUUUUCCGCAAUACCCUUUCAGGACUCGAUUUCCAGUACUACUUGGAGAAACCCUAUGGCGAAUGAUCGCAUUAUAAGUCAAGCAUGAAAGUGCAAUAUCAAUGCGCAUACUCCCCUGGUAGCAAGAAUCUUCACAACAUCAAAUUCGUUUGUACAAUGACUUAUGCUUU